CAGGAACAUCCAGAUCUUCUGAACUCUGGGCUCCUCUCACGGUUUGAUACACACACAGACACCUCUUCAAAGUUGAGGCUAUCAAACUGCCUGUAACCUGAUCAGGUGGUAAAUGGAUAAUACGCAGUGUUGUGAAAUUACUCGGUAUGAGAUCUGGGCUUUCAAAGAUUAUGUUUGAAAAGAGAUCAAGCAUGAGGUCAUGUAGCUGCUCUAAACUCAUUUCCUCCAGAAAUGGUGGUACCUUGACUUUAUACAGAAGGGAAAUGGAGGAUGUCAUCCUUAAUGAGGAGGAAGAAGAACACCUUAGUAAGUCAUAGCCUUGUGAAUGCAGACUGUUGAAAUGAAAAGACAGACCAACCAUCGCAUGGUGAUUACCCAGGAAAGCCACCUUGGGUUCUGGUUUUGGGAGCUGGAAAUAGAUACUGAGUUGGUAUUAUUUACUGAGAUAAAAUA
Long non-coding RNA from Lutra lutra (Eurasian river otter), 453 nucleotides. RefSeq lists it as uncharacterized. The record is from RefSeq and is a predicted model, not a curated record. The transcript has 4 exons. Lineage: Eukaryota; Metazoa; Chordata; Mammalia; Carnivora; Mustelidae.